Molecule: long non-coding RNA, 937 nt
Organism: Homalodisca vitripennis (glassy-winged sharpshooter)
Lineage: Eukaryota; Metazoa; Arthropoda; Insecta; Hemiptera; Cicadellidae
Exons: 3
Source: RefSeq, a predicted model, not a curated record
AUGUUUUCAAAACUAAUGUUGCGUAGGGUGGUGAAAUAAAAUUUAUACAAAUCUUUUCAUAUACAUAUAAAUUAAAUAUGUAUUAGUAAAUAAUGAGUGUUUACCUAUAUAUUUACGACACGCCGUAAGAACACAUAUCGGGUGACUGAGAGGAGUCCGGUAUACUCGUAUAGUAUUACAGCAAGACAAGAUGGCGUAGUGUUUGACACUACCGCGACCUACCGCAAACACGACAAAAACAGACGCUAUCGUGCGUUGCUCUUGGUGUCGAGAUAAGACCAAGACUGAUCUAGGCCAAUACCCUCCCAAUUGUGGCGUUGUCGUUGUCGGAGCUUCUGUCUGUCGCUCUCCACUUUCUGCGUCUCGGUGAUCUCUGAUUUAAUCUUCAUGCGCGUCUGCUCCGCGCACUUCUUGCCUGACCACUCCUGAUACCUAGCGGAGAAGACUCCAACUACAACGAGGGAUGGAAUGAAAGGGUGAACUUUUCUGUUAUCAGCGCGCCCUAGCGUCAGACGCGAGAACUGCUCGUUCCCAGACAUACGGGACCCUUCAUCUCUAUAGGUAUCUCUCUCAAAGACAAAUCAAGUGAUGCCGUUUUCCCACACUCAGGGAUUUCACACUUUACGUGCAGAACUACAUACUUACUACUACUACUACUACAUGGCGACAGUUGUUCACACUUUUAUACGUUUCAUGGCUAAGUAUAAAUGGAACUUUGUACCAGAGUUCUCCAAUCAAAAUUAUGUUCUCUGUUUUUGAAAUUUGGCGAGGUAUCUUAAUUCUCUGUUUUACUCAAAGGUACUCCAAAGUUAUUAGGAUUUUCUAAUAAACAUAAUAAUAAAUUAAUCACUUUAUUCAUCUAUGGCAGAUUAAUUAAUGGCACAGCAUUGUUUUAAAUGUAGUUACCUCAGUACCGUAAUAAAAUCAAUUUGCAGUG